UUGUGAGGUUCUCGGGUUGUGUCUUGAGUGUAAAACACUUGUAAUCUUCAUCUUGUUAUAGUGAAAUUUCUUUUCGCCUCUGCCCGUGGACGUAGGCAUUAAAGCCGAACCACGUAAAUCCUUGUGUUCACUUUUUUUUUCGUUUCGGUCAAUUUACUUGUAGUCAUAUCGGAGUUCUCGAAUCGAUCCUUUCCGCAACAAAUUGGUAUCAGAGCGUAGUUGAAGGAGUGAUAAUAUUUUCUGAAUUGCCCUGUGACUGCAGCUUUGUCUGAUCUUUC
Molecule: long non-coding RNA, 278 nt
Filed under: Gossypium barbadense (sea-island cotton)
Lineage: Eukaryota; Viridiplantae; Streptophyta; Magnoliopsida; Malvales; Malvaceae
Description: long non-coding RNA (GBAR_LNC016012)
Source: RNAcentral